UUAAAAGAGCCCAUUUUCCAGGUUCCAGACUGUUGGAAAUAUAUGCUGAUUCCUGGGAGUAGGGGCAGGAAUUAUUACAUGAAAAAGUCCCAGUCAUUGGAAGAAUCCCAUAACCUCCCUGAUGAGCGAUGGCUACCCUUCACUUGAGGUCUGGUAGGGAAGGGUAGCUGUCCUGGCCCCUUUUACAUAGGUUCCUCAUGCCUCAUCCUGACCAUAACCCUGUGUGUGUGUCUCUGUUACACACACCCCACCCACACCACUGUGAGCUCCUGAAUGGCAGGGAGAGGAACUUCCUUAUAUCUCUGUCCCCUCAGUGCCCAGCUGGAUGCCUGGCUCAGAGCAGAGACUUGAUAAGUGUUGGUUGAUUGAAUAAGUGCCAUCUCACCAAGCCCAGAAUAUACCUUGUCUUAAUCUCUAUCUUCAGGGCCAAGUUCAAUGCCUGGCACUUAACUUGGUGCUCAAUAAUGUUAGGAAAAAAUGAGCUCAUAAUCACCAUCCUUUAAUUAUGAUUGUUAUGUUUUUACUUUUAGCUAAAUGCUAUUUCCACCUCCCCUCCCCUCCCCAUGACUUCUGUUUUAUCUGUUCACUCACUAAAGCAUAGUAUCCUGAAUGCCUAUUAUGGCCCCAAGCCCUGACGUAGGUACUUGGUGUAUACAGGUGAGUGAAAGAGGCAAAGUCCUUGCCCUACUGGAAUUUACAGUCAAGUAGUAGAACAGUGUUUGGCACAAAGUGUUAGCUGCUCUUAUUAUUACUUCUGUCAUCUUAUUUUUUCCCCUGUAAAUGUGAGACUUCUCAGUUUACCAGAUGUCUCUUUUUCUGUGUCCUACCUCUAUUGCACUAUAGUACUUUUUUUUUUUUUUUUAAGUUUUCUGUAGGUACUUUUCUUCCUUAGAAGCCCAAGUUCUGAUUUUUCUUUCUUUCAGCUCACAUGUACAGGUCUCUUGCUCUGAGCCUAGGGGCUAUGCUGGGCACGUGCUGUAGGACCCAGUGCCUGCCCUCGGAUCACAGCCACAAAACCACACUUUCGUUUACUCACCACCGUCCUUUCUCUUUCUCUCUCUGUCUUUUCCAGGGACACAGACUUCAUCUGGACGGGUUGUCUGCUUUGCUGAGGCUUUCAGUUUGCUGCUCCAGAGUUCCUGGAGGCAACCCGAUUUCUCCUGGGAUGGUCACUGAAGUCAAAUUUAAGUGGAGCAGAGCCCCUGCUGGGUGGCAUGUAAAAGCAAGGCUGGCAUGACGCUUGUCAAGCAUUGGCUGUCAAGAGCGGACACGCUCAGAUGGGCACCUCGCCAUCCGGCAGCCUGACAGUGAUGGCUCAGAAACCACUUUUCCUGACGCGGGGCUUUGACACGCCAGCUCACACUGUGAGCACAGUGACCCUGCCCUGUUUCAAAAACUGACAGCAGACAAACCUGGAACAUCACCUCCCCUCUGAGUGAGCCCAGGAAAACACAAAUCUCCGUCCUUAGCGCCUCACGUCCUGCUCAAGGAUUUGUGAGCUGGGUUGCACAGAGGAGGAGGGAAGGGGAAAGAGCUAACACCUGGCAGGUGCCUGCUGAGUGUCUUGCUCAAGACAUUUCCCAUUUCUUUGCGUUUCUGUUUCUCACGAAGCACCUAUCUCUGCAAGCUCAUGGCUCUCUCUGGUAAGCGCUGGACUCCUCCACCCCCUGGCAUUGGGCUGUCUUGAUAAUCCCUCACAUUUGUCUGGUCUCCUCCAAGCAUCGUUUUAUUCACUCUCCCAAAAAAUGUCUAUGAGGGACAAAAAAACCCUGUAGGCUCUUAUGCAUGGACUCUGAAACAGCUGAGUAUGUAGGAGCAGACAGUUAGAAUGGUGUUUACUGGGGGUGGGAGGUGGGGGAAACAGGAGACAUUGGUCGAAGGGUACAAGGUUGUUGUUAUGUGGGGUGAGUUAGUCUAGAGGUCUAGUGCAUGGCAUGGUACCUAUCUAAUAGUGCUGUGUGGGAUGCUGGAAACAUGCUAAGAGAAUAGAAAUCCGGGGCUUUCAUCACAAAGGUAACUGAGAUGAUGUGUUAGUUAGCUUGACUGUGGUAAGCAUUUCGUUAUGUGUAUCAAAUAAGCCAAAAAAAUCCUGUGAGCUGUGGAGAGCAGAGAUGAUUUCCUCAUUUCUCAAUGCUCCAUAAGAGCGUCUGUCUGUUUGAUCAUCCAUCUAUCCAUCCCUUCAUUCAUUCAAUAAAUAUUUAUUACACUAUGAUAUUCUAGGACCUUUGCAAGUCACUGGUGAAGCAAAGGUAUCUAGAAAGCUCUUGGGAGCAAUAUAUACAUACAAGAAAAGGAGGUAUCAUUUUGAGGCUUUUAAGUAGAAAGCCAUGUAUUUGGAGAAUAGGGUAGUGGGGUGUUAUUGCAGGUUGUGACCAGUAGGUGGCACUCUGGGUCACAGGAGGCUUAGAGCCCUUUAGCCUUCCGCCGCUAAGCUUUCAUUUUAUAUUCAUUAGUGUAUUUAAAAUCAAAUUCUAAGUCAUAUCCCUGAAAGGCUGUAUUCAAUUGGAUUUUAAUUCCAUUCAUUUGCCGUUAAUUGUUCCAUGCUCUUCUAAAACAGUCAAAUUAAAUCUGCCCGUGUCGGGGCUUUGUGGAUAAGUGAAAGAUAUCCGAGAACUUCAGACUCCAGAGUAAACGAGCACCUCCUGUUCUAGGUCCCAGAUUCCUCUCUUAGGAAAUGCUAAUGAAAAGUUAAUGCUAUUGGGAGAAGAUCGGGAAGGAUGCACUAAGAUGUUAGUGGUAAUAUCUCCUAGUGGUGGGAAUACCGAUGGUUGGUUUGUUUCAUGUUGGUUUGUCCUUUGUUCAGUUUUUACAGUGGGCAUGUGUGAGUUUUCUUGUUUGUUUGUAUUUAGUUUUUCAUUGAAGUACAACCUACAAAAGGAAGAUAUGUAAAUGGUAAGCAGUUUGGAUUUAUAUGUUUAUAUAUAUAACCUCCACUUAGAUCAAGAUAUACGUUGCCUAAGCCCCUCACAUUUCUCUUGGAUCUCUUCCCUCCCCUCCCCGGCUAGGAGCCUCUCUUCUGUCACCAUGGGUUGGUUUUGAGUAUUUUGCACUUCGUGUAAUUGGAGUCAUACAGGCUGUCUUCUUUCGUGCCCAACUUUUGUUCAAUAUCAUUUAAGUCGAUGUAUGUAAACACAGUAAAGACUCGCCAAUCUUUCCUACUGUUUUGUGUAGCAGAAGUCUGUUCUUCGUUGGUGUGCAGUAUUCCAUUGUAGGAAUAUGUUGCAGGUCUGUAUUUUCAUAAUCAGAAAGAAGUUUACUUAAAAUGCUUACAUAUAGACACAGAAACUUGCUGGAGGCCAAGGAGACAUUUCAACUGCAAGAUCAUCUUCCCAGUAUGCGGGUGUAGAUAGCCAUCCAGGAAUUGGCUCAGGCCCAGAAGCGCACGGCAUCAUCGACUCAACGGACGUGAGUUCGAGCAAACACCAGGAGAUGGUGAAGGACAGGGAGGCCUGGCAUGCUGCAAUCCAUGGGGUCGCAAAGAGUCGGGCAUGACUGAGUGACUGAACAACAGCAAGAGAAGUGCAGGGUCUUUGAGUGGAUGCGGACACAGCUAACUGUGGGGCAGCAGCUGAGGCUAGUUCUGCUUCUCCCACUGGCUGUGUAGCCUUGGGGCAAGUCACUUGUUCUCACUGAGCCUCAGUUUCCUCGUCUGUAAAAUGGGUAACGUUACCAGACUUAGAGGAAGAAAAGAAGGAAAACCCCAGAACAUCCAGUCAAGUCUGAAUUUCGGAUUAAACAGUAAUUUCUUAGAAUAAAUAUGUCCUGACUAUCCUAAAGAAUUACUGUUUAUUUCCAAUUCAAAUGUAGUUGUGUUUUAUCCAACAAACACAGGUGUAAAACAUUCCCUGCUCCAUAAUAACACAAUUGUGACAGAGUGUGGGCAGAAAGCUAUGUACAGGUGAAAGAAACUAGAGAGGGCCAGAAGGGCAGGGAGGAGGACCCCGGGGUUUGGAAACGGAGCCCCGUGAGCCUCUGUAGGACAGGAACCUUGCUCUCACCCACCCCACCAACCCCAGUGCCCGGCCACAUGGCUGGCCCCGGGAAGGAGGCGCAGACAUGUUAUCUGUUGAACUAACGGCUGAAUGGAUUUGCUUUCCAGUUCCUGCACUUACUUGACUUUGACCUUGGGUAAGCUAGCUAACCAACUCUGUUUCUGUUGUGUGUGUGUGUGUUUUUAAUGCGUUCCUCUAACACUUCUUUCAGGGAGCCCUAACUCUGUGCCAGGUACUAGGCAGAGACAAUGAACCAAGGAGGUUUCUGCCCUCCUGGAGUUUAUUUUAUUAAGAGGGAAGAGGGAAAUUAAACAGGUAAAGCACAUAGAAAAAAAGACACUUUCUGAUAGCGAUGAGUGCUGUGCUAGAAAUAAAUAGGAUGUGUAACAGAGAGGGUCAGAAGUGCUAUUUGGAUGCGGGGUUUGGGGGAGGGACGUCCUGAGAAGGUGAUGCUGAGCAGAGACCCCUCCCUCCCAACCGUCACCCCCCGGGGCUGAUGAGGAAUCAGUCCAGGGAAGGGGCCUUCUGGGCUGAGGGAAAAGCAGGUUUUCUUACUUGAAUCCUGAGGAUGAGAAAACCUACUGCCCACCUCACAGAACUAUAAGGGGUUGAAUAAAGGAAGGUUGGUGUGUGAAAUCUUCAAGUUCUCUGUGUGAAAGGGAUUCUGAACUUUUCUCAUGGAACCUCAGCCCUGCUCCCCAGGCCCCCUGGAAACUCAGGACGGUUUGAUUCUUUAGCUGUGAGUGCAGACCUGCUCAGUACCAUCUGGAUGGCAUGGUUUCCACCAGUCUGGUGAGAUAUGUACAAACUGAAAGUGUUCGAAAACUCUGACACUGUGGAGUGCAGAUGGUAUCUUAUAAUUUUUUUUCAUUUUAUUUUUCUAUUAUCAGUUUGGGAUGGACCAAGAAAGAAGCAAACACCCUAGCUGUCCUUCAUCACAGACGGUUUGGAAAGCACUGGUGUAGAAGCUAUAGGAUGAGAAAAAUCUGGGCUUUAUUGCAGCUCAGUCACUUACUAACUGGCUGAUGUUAAUUCAAGUGUAUUAUCUCCCUGUGCCUUGGUGCCUUCACGUAUAAAAUGGGCUUAAUAGUGCACAUCCAUCAAAGCUUUGCAACAUCAAUGAAGAAGCAAGUAUAAAGCACGCAGUACAGGGAGUAGUACCAAAAUGUUCACUGCUAUUACUCUAGUCGGAGAAGGCAAUGGCACCCCGCUCCAGUACACUUGCCUGGAAAAUCCCAU
Molecule: long non-coding RNA, 5231 nt
Filed under: Capra hircus (goat)
Lineage: Eukaryota; Metazoa; Chordata; Mammalia; Artiodactyla; Bovidae
Description: lncRNA (ENSCHIG00010026375.1)
Source: RNAcentral